GGGUGAGUAAUGUCUGGGGAUCUGCCCGAUAGAGGGGGAUAACCACUGGAAACGGUGGCUAAUACCGCAUAACGUCGCAAGACCAAAGAGGGGGACCUUCGGGCCUCUCACUAUCGGAUGAACCCAGAUGGGAUUAGCUAGUAGGCGGGGUAAUGGCCCACCUAGGCGACAAUCCCUAGCUGGUCUGAGAGGAUGACCAGCCACACUGGAACUGAGACACGGUCCAGACUCCUACGGGAGGCAGCAGUGGGGAAUAUUGCACAAUGGGCGCAAGCCUGAUGCAGCCAUGCCGCGUGUAUGAAGAAAGCCUUCUGGUUGUAAAGUACUUUCAGCGGGGAGGAAGGCGGUGAGGUUAAUAACCUCGCCGAUUGACGUUACCCGCAGAAAAAACACCGGCUAACUCCGUGCCAGCAGCCGCGGUAAUACGGAGGGUGCAAGCGUUAAUCGGAAUUACUGGGCGUAAAGCGCACGCAGGCGGUCUGUUAAGUCAGAUGUGAAAUCCCCGGGCUUAACCUGGGAACUGCAUUUGAAACUGGCAGGCUUGAGUCUUGUAGAGGGGGGUAGAAUUCCAGGUGUAGCGGUGAAAUGCGUAGAGAUCUG
Molecule: ribosomal RNA, 600 nt
Filed under: Pantoea agglomerans
Lineage: Bacteria; Pseudomonadati; Pseudomonadota; Gammaproteobacteria; Enterobacterales; Erwiniaceae
Description: bacterial SSU rRNA
Rfam family: Bacterial small subunit ribosomal RNA
Source: RNAcentral